RNAcentral lists this ribosomal RNA (465 nucleotides) under uncultured bacterium. RNAcentral describes it as "partial 16S ribosomal RNA". It matches the Rfam family "Bacterial small subunit ribosomal RNA", at positions 338 to 795 of the family's 1533-position model. The record is from RNAcentral.
CCUACGGGCGGCAGCAGUAGGGAAUCUUCCACAAUGGACGAAAGUCUGAUGGAGCAACGCCGCGUGAGUGAAGAAGGGCUUCGGCUCGUAAAGCUCUGUUGGUAGUGAAGAAAGAUAGAGGUAGUAACUGUCCUUUAUUUGACGGUACUUACUUAGAAAGUCACGGCUAACUACGUCCCAGCAGCCGCGGUAAUACGUAGGUGGCAAGCGUUGUCCGGAUUUAUUGGGCGUAAAGCGAGUGCAGGUGGUUCAGUAAGUCUGAUGUGAAAGCCUUCGGCUCAACCGGAGAAUUGCAUCAGAAACGGGUGAACUUGAGGGCAGAAGAGGGGGGUGGAACGCGAUGUGUAGCGGUGGAAUGCGUAGAUAUAUGGAAGAACACCAGUGGCGAAGGCGGCUCUCUGGUCUGCAACUGACGCUGAGGCUCGAAAGCAUGGGUAGCGAACAGGAUUAGAUACCCUGGUAGUC